Molecule: ribosomal RNA, 443 nt
Filed under: uncultured bacterium
Lineage: Bacteria
Description: partial 16S ribosomal RNA
Rfam family: Bacterial small subunit ribosomal RNA
Source: RNAcentral
CCUACGGGGUGCUGCAGUGGGGAAUAUUGGGCAAUGGGCGCAAGCCUGACCCAGCAACGCCGCGUGAAGGAAGAAGGCUUUCGGGUUGUAAACUUCUUUUGUCAGGGACGAAGCAAGUGACGGUACCUGACUAAUAAGCCACGGCUAACUACGUGCCAGCAGCCGCGGUAAUACGUAGGUGGCAAGCGUUAUCCGGAUUUAAUGGGUGUAAAGGGGGUGUAGGCGGGACGGCAAGUCAGAUGUGAAAACCACGGGCUCAACCUGUGGCCUGCAUUUGACACUGUAGUUCUUGAGUACUGGAGAGGCAGGCGGAAUGCCUAGUGUAGCGGUGAAAUGCGUAGAUAUUAGGAGGAACACCGGUGGCGAAGGCGGUCUGCUGGACAGCAACUGACGCUGAGGCGCGAAAGCGUGGGGAGCAAACAGGAUUAGAUACCCGAGUAGUC